This 2151-nucleotide long non-coding RNA is filed under the name Capsicum annuum. RNAcentral describes it as "long non-coding RNA (CANN_LNC017787)". The record is from RNAcentral. Lineage: Eukaryota; Viridiplantae; Streptophyta; Magnoliopsida; Solanales; Solanaceae.
UCCUAAUCUAUGUUUUCGAUCCUUUUUUACACAAAAUCCGCUUCACCUAUAUUAAAUUUACAACUUUGGAUUCGAGGCCCAAAAUGAAUAAAUAAAUAAUUGAUUGAAUGAAAAUAAGUAAAUGAAGGAAACACUGAAAGUAAAAAUAAUGAGACUUUCAAGUCUCCUUUGCCGCUUCAAAGAUAGGCCUUUAACCCCUUCUUCUUCUUUAAUCUCCCCGUAUUCAUGCACUAGACCCAAUUGCCAUAUUUCAUAGCUUAUAUAAAGUGUUUUCAACACACUACACAAAAAAAACUGCAGAGAGAAUCUAAGCGAAAGAAAAUCAACAAUUGCAAAUGCCUACACAGUUUAGCAAGAUUUUGAAGAAAACUAAAAUGCAUCAUUUGAAUAACAUCUUUACAAUGAAGGAGUCAAGAAAAGCCAAAAUUCUGAACUCUAGUAUCCGAAAAACAUCGCAUACUUAAUAGGCAAAAUAAAUUAUAACAUUUUUCAUUUUUAGAUAAAAUCGAAUCGUGACGGCGAGGAGGGUAAAACUAACCAGAACAAGAGAAAGAAAACAACUUAGUGAGAGGGAUGCAAAAAGAAGGAACAUGAACAAGAUACAAGGAUUAAACAUUUUUGCCAAAUCAUGGCUUCUAAAAAAAAUCGAUAAAGUAAGAUCCUAAUCAAUUCAUCAACAGUAUGCAUACAAUUGCACAGUCUGGCAGUAAUUGUAUUUAAAACAUACAAGACUGGAAACAAAGACAAGUUAAAACCUUUGUAAACUCAAGAAUGUACAUAUGCACAACUUUCUUGGCAUAACGACGGCAAUGACUAUAACAAAGUACUCAAUUGCGGAUAAAAUGGAAAUGACAAAAGAAAAAAUAAAAUCACAUUUUUGAAGAAAACCAAUAAAACAAAGGUCGUGGGAAAACAAAAUUAACAAUUUGCCUCCAAGUUUGAUUUUUCAAAAUCAUGACUCUAAAUAUAACCCCACUACAAAUUGCUCGACAAACAAACGCAUAUUAACAAGUUAGCACCCUUUUUUUCUUUUUUUUCUUUUUGAAUAAGGGAGUCAACACUCCUAACAUCUAUAUCAGCGUAGCAAUUAGCAGUUGAAGAUUCACACACAACGAAUAUGGAAUUUCAAGAAUAGACAAAAACAAAACAAAGAAAGGAUCUUUUUAGAGAAACACUACCAACACAAAGCAAUAUUAAGAGUACAUACAUAUUCAUAACUAUAUGUAAAUUAUAUAAAAAAAAAUAGCUAAGGAUUUUCAACAGAGAAUCAAAAUAGUGAACUUUUACGAAAAGAGCAAAAACUAAAACAUAAGACUAACAAUGAAUCAACAUGUUAAAAGCACCAUCUUCAUCACCUAAUCCUUCGUCGCUCCCAGCAAGCAACAUCAUCGAAACAACUACAGAAUAGAGAAACGAAGCAGAGAUACUCAAAACUAAAUGGAAUAGAAUGUUACCUGUUUCAGAGUAACAAAACGGGAUUUGAGUUGUCGUCGAAAUCUCCCCUCCACCACCAAAAGACUUCUAUGACUCCGAGAACACCUCGACUUUCUCAUGAUGAGAAUUUUUUUACUAAAAAAAUGAUGUUUUGCUGGAAAGUUUUUCACCUCCUAGACUUGGUAUUUUUCAGCUCAGUCCUCCCUUUUAUAGAAGAAAUAUUUUAGGUUCAAAUUUAUGCUGCAACCGAUGUGGGAAAAUGGGAUUGAAGGGUAAUUUCGAAAAUUUAAGGGAAUCACCUUAUGAGCUGGACACCAUCUAUCUCAAAAUUGUUUUGUAUGAAUUUCAAAUUUUGAAAUUUAAACGAGGGUAGGGUGUCAAUAUCGGGUUAAAAAUGUCGGGUUGCUGAUGGGUCUAUCGGGUUGGUGCUAGUUUCGGGUCAAAACUGUCGGGUUAGUUAAGGGUCAAAUCUCGGGUUAUCACUGAUCACUGUUUGUGCAUCGUAUUUUGUUGCUGAUGUUAUGCUGUUUUUGUGUCAUUGAAUUGCUGCAAGAUUGUUAAAGAAGAAAUACAAAGGGUCGGGUCAAGAUUGUAUUGGGCCGAGCUGAUAUUGUUUGAGGUAGGCUGCUAAUAUGUUAUUGGGUCAAGGGUAAAAGGGAAGGAAACUGGGCUGGUUUGGGCUGGUAGCUGUUGUUUGAAUUGGGUUGGGGUUAUCUU